AUUGAACGCUGGCGGCAUGCCUAACACAUGCAAGUCGAGCGGAUGAAGGGAACUCGUGCCUGGAUUCAGCGACGGGCGGGUGAGUGAUGACUACGUGUCUACCCGAUAGAGAGGACUAACGUAAGGAAACGGGCGCUAAGACAGCAUACGAUCAGAGUGAGAAAGUGAGGGUUCUUCGGAGCUCGAGCUACCUGAUGUCACUACGUCGGAUUAGCUAGUUGGUGUGGUAAAGGCCUACCAAGGCGACGAUCCAUAGCUGGUCUGAGAGGAUGAUCAGUCACACUGGAACUGAGACACGGUCCAGACUCCUACGGGAGGCAGCAGUGGGGAAUAUUGGACAAUGGGCGAAAGCCUGACCCAGCCAUGCCGCGUGAGUGAAGAAGGUCUUCGGAUUGUAAAGCACUUUUAGUUGGGAAGAAGAGAAGUGAGUUAAUCCCUGGCUGUCUUGACGUUACCAAAAGAAUAAGCACCGGCUAACUACGUG
RNAcentral lists this ribosomal RNA (484 nucleotides) under uncultured bacterium. RNAcentral's name for it is "partial 16S ribosomal RNA". It matches the Rfam family "Bacterial small subunit ribosomal RNA", at positions 30 to 507 of the family's 1533-position model. The record is from RNAcentral.